GCUGGGCAUGCUGGUGCAGCAUCUAUAGUCACAGCCUCUAGGAAGGCUGAGGCAGGAGAAUAGCCUGAGUCUAGGAGUUCUAGGCUACAUAGUGUGCUAUACUGAUUGGGUGCCCACACCAAGUUCAGCAUCAAUAUGGUGACCUUCCUGGAACUGAGGACCAACAGGUUGCCUAAGAAGUGGUGAGCUGGCCCAGGUCACAAACUCCAGCACCAAUCAGUAGUGAGAUCAUGCCUAUGAAUAGCUGAUGCACUCCUGAUGCACUCCUGAGCAAAAGAGCAAAAUAUCCAUCUCUU
Molecule: signal recognition particle RNA, 296 nt
Filed under: Otolemur garnettii (small-eared galago)
Lineage: Eukaryota; Metazoa; Chordata; Mammalia; Primates; Galagidae
Description: Metazoan signal recognition particle RNA
Rfam family: Metazoan signal recognition particle RNA
About the family: The signal recognition particle (SRP) is a universally conserved ribonucleoprotein. It is involved in the co-translational targeting of proteins to membranes. The eukaryotic SRP consists of a 300-nucleotide 7S RNA and six proteins: SRPs 72, 68, 54, 19, 14, and 9.
Source: Rfam by way of RNAcentral